This 459-nucleotide ribosomal RNA is filed under the name uncultured bacterium. RNAcentral's name for it is "SSU rRNA". It matches the Rfam family "Bacterial small subunit ribosomal RNA", at positions 26 to 518 of the family's 1533-position model. The record is from RNAcentral.
AGAAUCAAUGCUGGCGGCGUGCCUAACACAUGCAAGUCGCACGAGAAAGGGGAGCAAUCCCUGAGUAAAGUGGCGCACGGGUGAGUAACACGUGACUAACCUACCUCCGAGUGGGGAAUAACUGAGAGAAAUCUUAGCUAAUACCGCAUAACACUUACGAGUCAAAGCAGCAAUGCGCUUGGAGAGGGGGUCGCGGCAGAUUAGUUAGUUGGCGGGGUAAUGGCCCACCAAGACGAUGAUCUGUAUCCGGCCUGAGAGGGCGCACGGACACACUGGAACUGAAACACGGUCCAGACUCCUACGGGAGGCAGCAGUGGGGAAUUUUGGCGCAAUGGGGGAAACCCUGACGCAGCAACGCCGCGUGGAGGAUGAAAUAUCUUGGUAUGUAAACUCCUUUCGAUGGGGAAGAUUAUGACGGUACCAUAGAAGAAGCCCGGCUAACUUCGCGCCAGCAGCCGC